This 816-nucleotide ribosomal RNA is filed under the name Streptobacillus moniliformis. RNAcentral describes it as "bacterial SSU rRNA". It matches the Rfam family "Bacterial small subunit ribosomal RNA", at positions 61 to 889 of the family's 1533-position model. The record is from RNAcentral. Lineage: Bacteria; Fusobacteriati; Fusobacteriota; Fusobacteriia; Fusobacteriales; Leptotrichiaceae.
AUCUAUGUAUGAAAUGUAAGCUUGCUUACAUAGACUACAUGGUGGACUGGUGAGUAACGUGUAAAGAACUUACCUCUUAGACUGGGAUAACCAUUAGAAAUGAUGGAUAAUACUAGAUAUUAUUAGUAGUAGGCAUCUACUAUUAAUGAAAGGAGAGAUUGCUAAGAGAGAGCUUUGCAUCCUAUUAGCUAGUUGGUGGGGUAAAGGCCUACCAAGGCUAUGAUAGGUAGCCGGCCCGAGAGGGUGAACGGCCACAAGGGGACUGAGAUACGGCCCUUACUCCUACGGGAGGCAGCAGUGGGGAAUAUUGGACAAUGGAGGAAACUCUGAUCCAGCAAUUCUGUGUGCACGAAGAAGGUUUUCGGAUUGUAAAGUGCUUUCAGUAGGGAAGAAGAAGAUGACGGUACCUACAGAAGAAGCGACGGCUAAAUACGUGCCAGCAGCCGCGGUAAUACGUAUGUCGCAAGCGUUAUCCGGAAUUAUUGGGCUUAAAGGGCAUCUAGGCGGUCUAACAAGUUGAAGGUGAAAAGCUGUGGCUCAACCAUAGUCUUGCCUACAAAACUGUCAGACUAGAGUACUGGAAAGGUGGGUGGAACUACACGAGUAGAGGUGAAAUUCGUAGAUAUGUGUAGGAAUGCCGAUGAUGAAGAUAACUCACUGGACAGAAACUGACGCUGAAGUGCGAAAGCUAGGGGAGCAAACAGGAUUAGAUACCCUGGUAGUCCUAGCUGUAAACGAUGAUCACUGGGUGUGGGGGUGUGAAGCCUCUGUGCCGAAGCAAAAGCGAUAAGUGAUCCGCCUGGGGAGUACGUACGC